Molecule: long non-coding RNA, 349 nt
Organism: Myotis myotis
Lineage: Eukaryota; Metazoa; Chordata; Mammalia; Chiroptera; Vespertilionidae
Exons: 3
Source: RefSeq, a predicted model, not a curated record
AGAGAGUACAUUACUGCAUCAUUUUGACAAACUUGAAUACGAAGAGAUGAAUGCUCCUCCUCUCUGAAAAAUUUCGGGAAGAAAAGGGCAAGGAGAGAUUGUAUAACUUGUCUACUGCUACAAGGCUAAGAAGUAAUGUGAUCAGAAUUGAAAAGGUUUGAUGGAUUCCAGAGUCUGGGCUUUAACCAUAAGCUAUACUCCUUAAACAGAAAUUAAUUUUCUUACCUGUCCUUCAGGUGAGAAAGAAAGGGAUGGGAAACUACCAGAGAUGGCUUUUAAAAAUCCCCGUGAUGUGUCUAGACAUUCCAGUCAUAAUUUCAGAGGCUUCUAUUGCCCAGGCCUGUUAAAA